UGAAAGCGAGCAGUUUGUUAUCUUUAUUGAUGACUGAUGAUGUGAUUACAUAUACUAUAUAUAGAAGCCAUUAGAGAGGUAUCUAUACAUACGCCUGUCCGGUUAACCGAAGCAACAGUUGCCAAAGGAACUGCAAGCAGAGUCCGCUUCCGUUAGGCCAAAUGGGGCUUGCAGGACCAUUUACAGAAAUACACGAUGAUUACCAGGCGCAUAUCUCAACUCAUUGCCACAACUGAGUUCCUCAUUAAGAGCUACGAUCAAGAAUCCUCCGAUGAACAAAGCCUAGGGAGUUCCUAGCAAGGAAUUCACGUCUCAAAGGUAAUAUCACUACAAAACAGGCCAAUCACAAGGAAUGACGGACGCCCAGAGUCAAACAACAAGUCAAAACUUCAAGCACUUGAACAAAAUAUCCAACGUCUCAAAUCUUCUAUCAAGAAGUCAUGGAACAUCAUGAACAGUAGAUAACAAUAAGCUAAAGCAAGACUUCCCAAUAUGCUCUCAGCAGAUAUGUAUUAAAUUCUAACUGAUUGAAACAACAGACAGGGGGUUUAG
RNAcentral lists this long non-coding RNA (552 nucleotides) under Triticum aestivum (bread wheat). RNAcentral's name for it is "long non-coding RNA (TAES_LNC012291)". The record is from RNAcentral. Lineage: Eukaryota; Viridiplantae; Streptophyta; Magnoliopsida; Poales; Poaceae.